AAUUAAAUGGCCGCAGUAUUUUGACUGUGCAAAGGUAGCAUAAUUAUUAGUUUUUUAAUUGAAAGCUUGUAUGAAGGGUUGGACGAGAUAAAAUCUGUCUUUAUUUAAAUUAUUAUAGAAUUUAACUUUUAAGUCAAAAGGCUUAAAUGUAUGUAAAAGACGAGAAGACCCUAUAGAUCUUUAUUUAACUAAUAUUUUGAUAAUUUAGGAUUAUUUUAGUUUAAAGUUUUAGUUAAAUUUUAUUGGGGUAAUAUAAAGAUUAAAUAAAUUCUUUUUAUUUAUUACAUUGAUUUAUGAAUAUAUGAUCCGAUAUUAUUGAUUAUAAGAUUAAGUUACCUUAGGGAUAACAGCGUAAUUUUUUUGGAGAGCUCAUAUCGAUAAAAAAGUUUGCGACCUCGAUGUUGGAUUAAAAAUUAGCUUGGGUGCAGAAGCUCAAGAUUUUGGUCUGUUCGACCAUUAAAUUUUUACAUGAUCUGAGUUCAGACCGGCGUAAGCCAGGUCGGUUUCUAUCUUUACUUAUCUAAAAUAUUUUAGUACGAAAGGACCAAAUAUUUAAUAUAAUUAUAUUUAUUUUUUGAAUAAUAUU
Molecule: ribosomal RNA, 586 nt
Filed under: Cicindela lagunensis
Lineage: Eukaryota; Metazoa; Arthropoda; Insecta; Coleoptera; Carabidae
Description: partial 16S ribosomal RNA
Rfam family: Bacterial large subunit ribosomal RNA
Source: RNAcentral